GUCUUUACUUCUCACCAUUAAAUAUUUCCUUGAUUUUCUCCCACUACGAUUUAUUCAAUCAUCUCCUACUGACGCGAUCGAGUCCUUCUCCUCUCUUUUAUGCCUUUUCUUAAGAACCCUAACUCUAUCUUUGGAGAAAAUUGAAAGUUUGGAUUUUGUUUUGCAGGACUACGGAAGAUGAUAUAAUUGUAUAUCAAGUAACAUCUGAGGACAUUGUUGAUGACUUUGAGACGAAGUGGUUGAUGUUAAAGACAAAGAGCUUAAUAAGCAGAAGCUGAGGAGAAGAAUUGAUCAGCACAAGCUUCCACCGUGGAGGUGCGGCUGGUUCGUUUUCCCCAGCGCUCAUACUCGGUGAUGAUCGUGAUAAAAACAGUCGAUCCGGAGGAGGACAAUAAUUACUGGAAGAGCCACCCUGUAUGUCUUCUUGCGGUGAUUAUCUUAAAAGGAACUUCUCCUGGUGGCUUGAUUGAGGCAUGUUUCCCUUCAUGCAGUGUCCUAGAAUAAUCAUUAGCGAUGUAGAGGUAAGCAAGACUCUUGCUUGAACCAAGUACAUGGAGUAUGGUUUGAAAUGAGACUGAGGCAAGAACCUUCUCCAGGGUUCACAGCUGGAGACAAUACAAUACGACUACUGUGAUCACACAAGUUCCAUAUCAUGUGGUUUAUGCCAAAGAUGGAAAGGUGAUGAAGUACCCAGUUAUUUGAAGUGGUAACAGAUGGUGAGAAGUCGAAGGCGGGGAAGAAGCGAGCUAAGGCUCCAUGGGCAAAGCUACUUUCUCAGUAUUCUCAGGACAUUGAGUAUGGAUUCAUGAGCGGCGACAAGGACAACUUCAACCUCGCCGAUCUAACCGCCUCUCUUAAAGACAGGAUCGAGCUGGCCUUAUGAACUCUCUCAAGAACAAGCUAAUGGCUGGUCAGCGUUCUGAUGUUCUCGAGAGUCUGACUCCUCAAGUGAGAAACCGUGUUGAAGCCUUGAGGGACAUACAGGGAAAGCAUGAUGAGCUUGAUGCAGAGUUCCGUGAGGAGAGAGCUGUUCUUGAAACCAAGUAUGAUAAGUUGUAUCAGCCUUUGUAUACC
Long non-coding RNA from Raphanus sativus (radish), 1074 nucleotides. RefSeq lists it as uncharacterized. NCBI's taxonomy places the organism in Eukaryota, Viridiplantae, Streptophyta, Magnoliopsida, Brassicales, Brassicaceae. The record is from RefSeq and is a predicted model, not a curated record. The transcript is spliced from 9 exons.